CCUUAUCUUAAUAUAUAUGAUUUAUUGAUUCAUUUUGUAAUCAUUCAGCGUAAUUCUGAUAUAAUAAACAGUCUAGUUCUAGUAUUUGAUUUUGGCGCCUAACCGAAAACGUUACUCAAAGCAAACUCAAGAUGACAGCUCUUCUUUAUUGUCCGGGUACGACCGCCGGCUAUAUAGAUAUGAAAGAGCGCUGUGCAGAUCGUAUUGUGCCAGUAUUAAUAUUAAUGUAUCACACAAUCCCGUGUCUCAACAUUCUCGAUAGAUUUUGCAUCAGAAAGAUUUCAAGGUCAAGCUAGUUUGGCAUAAAUUUAAGAACACAGUUCAACAAUAAUUCAAAAUAAUGUGAUUAUACAGUAAAAAAUAGCCCUUUUUCAAAAAACAUCCUCCUAUUGCUUAAGUUCAUUUAACAAAACAUCACAAUUCGGUUUCAUUAAGAACAAUGAAUCACAUGUUGAAUUUUAAACCAAUAAAUACGAUUUGCUAGGUGCGUGUUCAUUUGUAUAUUUUGUAUAUCAGAAUAUAUACUGAUAACAUACCAGUAUAUUCACAGAUAAAAUACAAUUUUACACACUGAUGACAUAUGCUACAUGCCAAUAAGCAGCACAGGGUAGCAGACAGCUCCUCACAGAGACAGAUUGGCUAGGGUGAUCUAAGCUGGGUCUAGCUAGGCUACGCUAGGUCUGGCUACGCUACACUGGGUCUGGCUAGGAUAUGUCAGUUUCGGCUAGGCUAGGCUACACUACACUGGGUCUGGCUAAGCUAGGCUUGGUCGAGCUAGGCUAGGCUACACUACACACUACUACUUCUACCGCAUAGGGAAGUCAAAUGGAGGCUGAUCUGUUCCAUUCUGAUUUGGGAUCAGAAUGGAACAGAAUCCAUGUGACGGUGCUGUUUACACUGUUCAGAAACGUGAGUCACAUGUGAGCAGAUACAAGAUCUGUUCUACUUUGGCCUCAGUGGGAACGAGGUCUCAUGUAGGGCGUCAGUGCACCAAGUCGAACACGGCAUAAGACUUGCUUCACAAUCUGCUGCUUAGCUGAGGCUAGUUUUGGCUUUGCUAGGCUAGGCUGACUUUGGCUGGCCUAUCUUAGACUCUGCUGGGACUGGUUUGGCUAGGUCUGCGCUAGGGCCUGGGGGGGCUUGUAGUGUGUCCGUCCGUAGACACUGUGGUACUAUGCUAGCAUAGUUAGCCACGAGGUGGUGUUAGCAAUCAUGAUAGCACACAAGCCAUUCGCCCGUUCCUGUUAAGGGUCUGUGGGAAGCAAUGCAUCAUGGGUAUAAGUCAUCCGGGGCCUCAGUACUUCCUGGAGAGCCGCUUGGGUCUGCGGGGGCUCUGGCGACGCUGGGCCAGGGUGCGGCCCGGCAGGUCCGGCGGGACGCGGGGGAAGGGGCCCCGGGGGCCCCGGGGGGGGCCGCUGCAGCAGGACCCGGGCCCUCUUCCCGUCCGGCGGCGGCGGCUCCGUGUGCCGGGUCUUCUGGGUGUGCUUGCCUCUCCUGGGGUCCGGGUGGUCCUGCGUCUCCGUCUCUUUGGGGAGGGGGGGCCCCGGGGUCCUGCUCCUCCAGGGGCCGGGCGGGUCCUUCACCGCCGUCCUCUUGAGGUCCCCCGGUUCCGCCGCCGGCCCGAACACCCGGCGCCGCGCGCGCAGCGGGAACGCUCCCUGGGCGGGGGGGCCCUCCUCCGGGGCCCCCGGCGGGCUGCAGGUCAGCGUGGCCUUGGAGGUGACCCUCAGGCUCUGGCGGUCCAGCUCGAUCUGCCGCCACUUGAGCAGCACGGCUGGGCUGGCCUGGUAGCUGGUGGGGCUCUGCAGCCCCCGCAGCAGGUUCCGCGGCGUGGACUUGACGACGGCGGGCUCCAGCAGCCGGCCGUCGGCCAGGCGCCGGGGCGGCGUGCAGGGGGAGCACACGAUGGGCUUGAAGUGGUUGAGCUCCUCCGAGAUGCUGUCGUUGCUCUCGGGGCUGACGCUGCGCUCCGGCCGGGCGGGGGGGGGGAGAGGUCGCCGGGCCGCGCCAGGCCAACCGGCGGUCGCCGCUGACGGGCGAGGAGACGGCCGGGCUGUUCUCGGAGGACAGCAGGAUCCCCGCCACACAGCUGUGUCUCGCCCCCGCCUGCAAACCACACACCGGGUGAACGGACCGGCCUGCUGCUGGGUCUACUGGGGGCCGCCCAGUGCAACCAGCAGAGGAGGCUCCAUCUGCGAGGAGUCAACCCCUCCGACUCACCGC
This is a long non-coding RNA of Gadus morhua (Atlantic cod), 2223 nucleotides long. NCBI's taxonomy places the organism in Eukaryota, Metazoa, Chordata, Actinopteri, Gadiformes, Gadidae. The record is from Ensembl.